GCCGCGGUCGCCAACCGCCGCCUCGCGCUACCGGCUGGAGAGAGGCUGGCCUGGCGGGGAUGUGGAGCGCCUGGGCCGGACCUCGGGCUUGCACCGGGGCGCGUCUCCUCGCCCAGGUGGCCUGCGGGCACAUUGCUUGAGGUUUCGCGAUCCACGGUCUCAGCGGAUCCAGGGGAUAAAUACAUCUUUAAGAAAAUAAAUAAAUGAAGACUCCUGCCAGCGUCUUGAAGGAUGAGAUGGAGCUCACCAGGUGAAGAGAGAACAGCGCUUCUGGCGGGAAGGAACCUGCACAGGGCAUUUUGUGGGGGAGGGAGAGGCCACAGGCAGGAUGAAGGGCAGGAUGGCUGUGAGGUCAGCCGUGAUGACACUGAUGAGACCAGUAGGCCAGUGAAGUGCCGGGGCUCUGCUCCUGAGCUGUGCAGAGACCGGGAGAGAUCUGCAACAAGGAUGAGGACUGUGAGUGGCUCCAGUGGCCAACUCAGAAGCAACCCAGGAAGAGAGGCCAGGCCCAAGGCCCCUUUGGACCAAGGAUGCUUGUGAGCAUCCUGUCUCCUUUAGAGUCUUGUCCCCAAGGAGCUGUGUAUGAUUUUGGGAAAGCUGUGUUCUCAGUUACAGAAAGACAUCCAGGCUUAGGAGGAACUAAUGACUGUUUCUUUCCUUGAAUGGCAAUCCCUCUACAUAUAAUUCCAUCAGCACCCAAAAUAAGCAAAGCUUUACUAAGCACCAAGAAGACCACAUCCACAUAAUGAAAAUAUUUUAUCGGAAGCCUAAGAAAAGUCCCUGUGGACUCCGCGUCUUCCUAGGAACAACUUCCCAACCGAUGAGAAACGAAUCCCAGGGAAAGAACCUGCUCUGCAGUGCAGGCCACACCAGUACACAGCUUGCAGCAGAUUCCCACGGAGGGGAGUGUGGUGAGAGUGCCAGCCUGCAGGCUGUUUUAUGUCAGUGCCCCAGGACUAAGUUUGUGUCUUACCAACAGCGCGUAUAGAGUGACAGGCACAAGCAAGCUCCCGAGCUGUCACUCGGCUUUGAUGAGGCCCGGCUUUGAGUAGGAGGUCAGUUAGGUGGCAGAGGCGCCUCCAAGUUGCAAAGUCUGCGGUUACGGAUCCGUCGUCUGCAGCCAGCCUGCCUGGCUCCCUCGGACACCUUCUGUGUGAUCUGCAGCAAGUUCUUCAAGCUCUCUGCCACUCAGUUUCUUCAUCUGUGAGAUGGGGUAACACAGCAGCUCCCCGUUAGAGUUAUUGAGGGUUAAGUGAAUCCUUGAGGAAUACGCUCUAGGAGAGCACUAUGUGGUACACAGGAAGUUCUGCGUGUUUAUUAUUAUUGUUACCUUAGAGUAGAUUAAUUGGUCUGGAGCUUUUCUCCAAUGAAGCCACCUGUAAGAAAGUUCAUUUUAAGUUGGCUGUCUCAAUGAUAGUGGAUGAAACAAUUCAUCUGGUUGGGCUCUUGAAAGAAACCAUCUAUUUGUCUCCAAAUUCUGGGGCUUUUUACUCUAAAGUACGCUGUGAGGGACCAGCGUUGUGGCCCAGCAGGUUAAGCCGCAGCCUGGGAUGCUGGCAUCCCAUAUGGACACCAGGUUCAAGUUCCAUCUGCUCCACUGCCUAUCCAGCUUCCUGCUAAUGUACCUGGGAAAUCAUGGAAGAUGGCCCAAGUGCUUGGGCCCCUGCACCCAUGCAGGAGACCUGGAUGAAGCUCCCGACUCCUGGCUUCAGCCUGGCCCAGCCCCAGCUGUUAUGGCCAUCUGGGAAGUGAACCAGCAGAUGAAAGAUAUCUCUCACUCUGUCUCUCUCUGUAACUCUGCCUUUCAAAUAAAUAAAAUAAAUCUAAAACAAAAAAA
Oryctolagus cuniculus (rabbit) is the source of this 1837-nucleotide long non-coding RNA. RefSeq lists it as uncharacterized. Lineage: Eukaryota; Metazoa; Chordata; Mammalia; Lagomorpha; Leporidae. The record is from RefSeq and is a predicted model, not a curated record.